AUGCUUCCCGAUCCAACUGUUCUUCUCAUCAUCGGAGCCGUUAUAGCAUUCAUUUUGGCGUUUGCUAUCGGUGCAAAUGACACGGCAAACUCGUUCGGAACUUCUGUUGGAAGCAAGGUGUUGACUCUUCAUCAAGCAUAUGUUUUGGCUAGUAUCUUCGAAACACUUGGAGCUUGUCUCCUUGGUCAUCAAGUGACAGACACUAUGCGCAAAGGUGUGAUCGACUUCUCAGAGUUUGGUAAACAUGAAAAUGGUACCGUUCUUAUGAGCGAAAAUGAUCUCGGCCAUACUAUCAUGUUGGGACAAAUCGCUAUCCUCACUGGAUGCGGUGUGUGGAUGUUGUUGGCGACUGCAUUCAAGCUGCCCGUAUCUACAACUCACUCAAUUGUUGGAGCCACGAUUGGAUUUGCUCUCGUUGCCCAAGGAUCUCGUGUCAUUGUGUGGGAGAAGAUUUACCGUAUCUUCUUCUCAUGGAUCAUUUCACCACUUCUCUCUGGAAUCGUUUCGGUUUUCAUCUACUUGUCGCUUGAUCAUUUGGUUUUGAGACGUGAACAACCUCUUCACAGUGGAAUUCGAGUUCUUCCUGCGCUCUACUUCAUCUGUUUCGCUUUCAACGUCUUCGCCAUUGUCUAUAAAGGACCUUCUUUCCUCUAUUUCGAUCGACUCAGUCUCACACAAUGUCUCAUCAUCUCUGGAGUGUUCGGAUUAGCGGUUGCUCUUAUCUUUGCGUUCUUCUUGGCACCGUAUCUCAAGGAUCACAUCCUGAGUAUGUUUAAGAAAUGGAGUAUGAGGUUAGCAAUUGUCGAUAAGGCACUGAAGAUAGUUUCCAGUGGCCUUAUCGUUGCAGUAUCAUUGAUUAAUAUUCUAAGAUUUUAUAUGAGUUUUCAGGUGGUAAAAUUAUUAGAAAAUUCUGCUGUCGAUAAAUUAUUUUCAUUUCAGGCAAAGAACUUCUUGAAAUAACUGGAAAACAGCGACACAGUCAUCACGGACAUAACGAAAAGAGCAGUUCAAAGCGAAAAGAAUUUGAAAUGGAAGAAGGAAAUGGAAAAUAUCUUGAAUCCGACAAUAACGGUCAACCUCUUCUCGAUCAACCAACUAUUGUAGUCAGUACAUGCCCAUCAAAUGGAGAAUCAACUUCAUCUUUCGCAAAGAAUACAAUUCGCCCGUCUUCCUCCCUUGCUUCAUUCUUCCGUUCCUGUAAACCAGAAGAUCCACAAGCUUCACGACUGUUUUCACUUCUUCAAGUGAUGACGGCCUGCUUCGGAGGAUUUGCUCAUGGAGGAAACGACGUGAGUAAUGCGAUUGCUCCACUUGUUUCGCUUUAUCUGAUUGCUAAUGACGGAAUGAAAUCGGCCGAUAUGGAAACACCAUGGUACCUUCUUCUCUACGGAUCCUUCGGAAUGUGUCUCGGUCUCUGGGUUCUCGGACAUCGUGUCAUCUACACUGUCGGAGAAAAUCUAACCAAGAUCACUCCAGCAUCUGGAUUCGCCGUCGAGUUUGGAGCUGCUGUCACUGUUCUGAUUGCUUCAAAGCUCGGACUUCCUAUCUCAUCAACACAAUGCAAAGUUGGAUCCGUCGUGGCAGUCGGUCUUGUUCAAUCCAGACAUCAAGUCCAUUGGGGAGUAUUCCGGAACAUCUCACUAUCCUGGAUAGUAACUCUUCCAGUUGCCGGUCUUCUUUCCGGUGGAACCAUGAUGAUUCUCCAUUUAUUCUCGUUCGGAACCGAUGCAACGCCCAAGGAUUCUAUCCUCCAGCUCUUCUUCUAA
Molecule: unclassified non-coding RNA, 1766 nt
Filed under: Caenorhabditis elegans
Lineage: Eukaryota; Metazoa; Nematoda; Chromadorea; Rhabditida; Rhabditidae
Description: Non-coding transcript of protein-coding gene pitr-1
Source: RNAcentral